GAUGAACGCUGGCGGCGUGCCUAAUACAUGCAAGUCGAGCGAACAGAUGAGGAGCUUGCUCCUCUGACGUUAGCGGCGGACGGGUGAGUAACACGUGGAUAACCUACCUAUAAGACUGGGAUAACUUCGGGAAACCGGAGCUAAUACCGGAUAAUAUAUUGAACCGCAUGGUUCAAUAGUGAAAGACGGUUUUGCUGUCACUUAUAGAUGGAUCCGCGCCGCAUUAGCUAGUUGGUAAGGUAACGGCUUACCAAGGCAACGAUGCGUAGCCGACCUGAGAGGGUGAUCGGCCACACUGGAACUGAGACACGGUCCAGACUCCUACGGGAGGCAGCAGUAGGGAAUCUUCCGCAAUGGGCGAAAGCCUGACGGAGCAGCGCCGCGUGAGUGAUGAAGGUCUUCGGAUCGUAAAACUCUGUUAUUAGGGAAGAACAAAUGUGUACGUAACUAUGCACGUCUUGACGGUACCUAAUCAGAAAGCCACGGCUAACUACGUG
RNAcentral lists this ribosomal RNA (497 nucleotides) under uncultured bacterium. RNAcentral's name for it is "partial 16S ribosomal RNA". It matches the Rfam family "Bacterial small subunit ribosomal RNA", at positions 28 to 507 of the family's 1533-position model. The record is from RNAcentral.